Molecule: ribosomal RNA, 484 nt
Filed under: uncultured bacterium
Lineage: Bacteria
Description: partial 16S ribosomal RNA
Rfam family: Bacterial small subunit ribosomal RNA
Source: RNAcentral
AUUGAACGCUGGCGGCAGGCCUAACACAUGCAAGUCGAGCGGAUGAAGGGAGCUUGCUCCUGGAUUCAGCGGCGGACGGGUGAGUAAUGCCUAGGAAUCUGCCUGGUAGUGGGGGAUAACGUCCGGAGACGGGGCCUAAUACCCAUACGUUCCGGGGGAGGAAGGGGGGGAAUCUUGGAACCCCCGCUAUUAAAUGAGCCCUAGGUCGGAUUAGCUAGUUGGUGGGGUAAAGGCCUACCAAGCCGACGAUCCGUAACUGGUCUGAGAGGAUGAUCAGUCACACUGGAACUGAGACACGGUCCAGACUCCUACGGGAGGCAGCAGUGGGGAAUAUUGGACAAUGGGCGAAAGCCUGAUCCAGCCAUGCCGCGUGUGUGAAGAAGGUCUUCGGAUUGUAAAGCACUUUAAGUUGGGAGGAAGGGCAGUAAGUUAAUACCUUGCUGUUUUGACGUUACCAACAGAAUAAGCACCGGCUAACUUCGUG